CACAAGUCUAUUUAUUUGCCAGUACCAUUGCUAUUUUCUAUCACGGUAGUUUUGUAGUAUAACUUCAAAUCAAUGAUUGUGAUGCCCUCUUCCUUACCCUUGCUGCCCAGAAUUCCUUUCGCUAGUCUGAUUCCAUAUGAAUUUGAGGAUUGUUUUCUCCAGUUCUGUGAGGAAUGCUAUUGGUAUUUUGAUUGGGAUUGCAUUAAAUCUGUACAUCAUAGGUUUCAAUCACAAAUAGGUGUUGGACUUUGUCAAGUGCUUUUGUUGUGUCUAUUGAGAUGAUCAUGUGGUUUUUGUUGUUGGUUCUGUUAAUGUGGUGUAUUACAUUUAUUGAUUCAUGUAUGUUCAACCAUCCCUGCAUCCCGGGUAUGAAUCUUAAUUGGUCAUGGUAUAUAAUCCUUUUGAACAUUUACUGCACUCUGUUUGCUAGUAUCUUAUUGAGGAUUUGUGCAUCUAUGUUCACUAGGGAGAUUGGCCUGCAGUUCUCUUUUCUGGUCGGGUCUUUCUCUGGUUUUAGUAUCAGGGUAAUUCUUGCUUCCAGGAAUGAAUUUGGGAGUAUUCCUUUGCUUUCAAUUUCAUCAAAGAGUUUGAAAGGUAGUAGCAUUAGAUCUUCUCUAAAGUUCUUGAAGAAUUCAGCACAGCAUCUCUUAGUAAUUAGGCUUUUCUUUGUUGGUAGCAUUUUUAUUAUUAUUUCUUCAAUUUCAUUGAUUGAUAUUGGACUAUUUAAAAUUUUUAUAUCUUCUUGAUAUCAGCUUUGGUAAUUCCUAUGUAUCUAGGAACUUGUCCUUCUCUUUGAAUUAUCUAUCUUGUUAAGGUACAGGAUCACAAAGUAGGUACUGAUGAUCUGGAUUUCUGCAGGAUCUAUUGUGAUUUCACCCUUUUCUUUCCUAAUUGCAUGGAUUUGGGUCUUUUCUUUCCUUGUUUUGAUGAGCUUACCUAUUUUAUUUAAUCUUUCAAAGAACUAACUCUUUCAUUCUUUUAUUGUUUUCUUUGUCUCAAUUGCAUUAAUUUUGGUCUCAUCUUUUUUUUAAAAAUUCAGGAAAGGAAUUAUGGCUUUAAAUUUAUCUUUACAAUUCCAGUAUUUUUGCACCUCUGUCUAACCUUUUCCUAGCAAUCAAAUCAUAUUUUAAAAUCUAGCUUGUGAAGUAAACUUUACGUAAUAAAAGACAUUAGAAACAGUAUGAGAAUGAUUGAAUUCACUGUUUUCUCUCAAGUAAUAUUUCCCUCUAUUUUUGAUGCAAAAAUUAAAAAUGUGGAUUUAAACUGAAACCUCAUACUUUGUGCCAAGGGAUUGAUGGAGGAAAAGUACUUUACAUGGAUGCCAAUCUAUCUUCCAGGAUUACUGGCUAACUUUGGGUACCCUAAUGUGUCAUUUCCUGCCCAUCUGCCUACUUUGUAAAACUGGUUUCAGCAGUCUAGCAUCCUAUAGUUGUAUCCUUUUCACCUUCCUACUCCUUUCUUCCAUAGGAGAAGGGCAAACUCAAAAUCACCUUUAGUGAUGUGAGGCCUUGCUGAGCUGCCGUCUUUUUCUGCCUACAUUUAGUAGCUUGGACUUUCUUCUGAGUUCUAACAGCACCCCAUGAGUUUAUGUCACAACACUCAUCUUAUCUUCCAUCUUCCCAUGUCACCAUGGCAAUGAGUGAGUUCUGGAGAACAGAGCUUUAUAUUUUUUCAUUGCUCCAUCAUCAAGAAGCCAUCAUUAGUGUGGUUCUUAAUAAAUGAGAGGUGGGCGUGGAAAUCAUAUUCAAAGAAGAGUACUAGAGUAAAAACGGUCCCUAAUCCUGACCAUUAAAUGACAUAUUCAAAUUAAAAUUGUGCAUUUGCUUCAGUGCCUUGUUUUGUUUUCCUCAUGCAAACCACAUACAGCAAAGUUUUCCAGGGUCGUCUGGCAUACCAAGUCCCUAAUUCUCCUCUGGAAAAUGUAAGAGAAGAGGAAGAGUUCCAUGUCCAAAACCUGGAGUUCACGCCAGGUCCAGCCAACACAGGUGUGUAGGGAAGGAAUCGGGCAGAGACCAACAAGCCUCUUCUCAGCUGCCCUCAUCCUCCUUUUCUCCUUCUCAAUUUGGAUUUUCUUAUAGAAGAAAUUGAGAAGCCCAACUUUUGUUCUUAUGCAAUUGAAAUAAUGUCAGAAAUCCAGAAGAUUAGAGUUUUCUGUAUGCAUGACAUUAUAUUAUUUCACAUCAUGGUUUCCCAAAUUAACAUUUUUACUAUCAAAAUAACCCUCAACAAGCCUUCAUCACAUUCUCUGUAUUUAUCCUUUAAUAUGUAUACUUAGACUAGGAACUAAGUUGAGAUCUGCUCUGUAACUGUAGCGGUGGCUCUGGAGAAUAUGAAGAAACUCUACCCAGUAGAGUGUCCUUCCCGUAAAGGUUGUGAGAGACAUUAACAAUCUUGUUAGAAAAUUUUCCUAGAAAAUGUAAGCAGAAUUGUGCACAAACUUGGAGAGACAUAAGUAAUGUGACCAUUCCUAGGCCAGGGUUCUUUCCAAAAGGUAAAAAUGGAGCAAAUCCUCUCACAAAAUAUAAUGACUUUAGAAGGACUAAAAAUUUUCCUCUAUCUCUCAGGCCAUCAUAGUUCUCUCAGAAUUCACACUGAGUAGUCUCUGAGGAAAGUCUUUGGUUUUCCAGGAAGCAAAAAGGGUACGUGUAAAGUUAAGUGGUCAUGCUGUGGAGAGAGCUGUUAUUAUUUUUCACGGGGAAUGAAGAACUUUGAAGACAGUAGGAAACUCUGCAAAAAAAGGACUCCACACUUGUUAAGAUAGAAGAUACACAGGAACUGAACUUUAUUCAAAGCCAAAUAUCUUAUUUCUCUUGGAUUGGGUUGUCCCGUGAAGGAACCAGCACACCCUGGACAUGGGAGGAUAAGUCACAACCCUCUCUUGAAAGGUUCAUUUUGACUUUAAGGAAGAGUCAGAAGUUGUAUGGUGCCAGUUCUGGUGAACAAGAUAAAUGAGGGCACACCAGUGUUUUUACAAGCCUGCCCUUGCAUUGGACAGUACUCACUCUGCAGCCGCAUUCACCAUACUUUUGACCACAUCGUGAAAGAGGACUUCCAGAACUUCUACAGAAAGUGGGAAGGACAAGAACGAUGGGAUAAGUGUAAUCAAAGGAAGGGGGAACAUUUUGAGGAGGACUAAUGGCAAAGUCUCUUUUACUGUAAUAAUAUUUUAAUUUAAAAUACACCACAGGUUUUGAUCACACCUUCUAUAAACAUGUACCAUUAUCUACCAUAUCCAAUGAAUACAUACAAGUAAUGUGUGUCAUUUCAAAACUACCAUUUGAAUUUAAAACUAAAUGUUUUAAACUUCAAAAAAUAGUUUGUGAUAUGAAUCUAUAAUGACCUGCACAGUUUAAAUAAAUUUCAGGAAGACAUGCUCCACCCCACAAAUAAUGAGGAAUGUUUCAUUUGACAAAAGAUACCCCCUUUAUUGGCAAAAUGAAACAGCUUGAUAACACACAGUAAAGAUGUAGGGAACCAGACACUUGUGAGCACUGGAAAAGAUAUGACAACUGCAGUGGAAAGUAGAAAUCAAAUAUCUAUUAAACUUAAAAUACAAAACUACAAAUUACAAUCCUAGAGAUUUAUCAUACCAAUAUCGCUAUGUCCAGUAAAAGUGUACAAAGUGUUGUUACAGUAUUUUUGCACAAAUGCAAAAUUCUGGAAUAAAUCUAAAUAGUCAUUGAAAUAAAACUAGUUGAGUAAAUUUUGGUACAUAUAUUACUAGUACAGUAUAAUGCUUACAAAUGUUUACAAAAAGUGAAGCAACUCCUUAUGUACUGACAAGAAACAAUCUGUAAGACUUAAAAGUUAAAAAGCAAGAUUAUUGUUUAUACUUAUGUAAUACAUGGUUUGCCAGGUAAUGUGUAUAUUUGUACAUUCAUACAGUAUCUCUGAAAUAUUACCUGACAAUAGAUAAUAGUUGUUUGCCUAUAACAAGGAGACUAGGUGAGUAAGCAACAAAAUAGGACAGGGCAAUUUGGUUUCAUAGCUCAUUGUUUUGUUCAUUUUAUAUUUUAAACAAUAUGAAUAUUACUUAUCUAUCAUAUAAAUUUAAUUAAAUUAUUAAGAAAAUAAAUAAGAUCUUUUAACCAAUCAAAAUAAAUUUCUUCCAUGUUUUCUCAUUUAUCAAUUCUUAACAUUUCAAAAUAU
Long non-coding RNA from Heterocephalus glaber (naked mole-rat), 4149 nucleotides. NCBI's taxonomy places the organism in Eukaryota, Metazoa, Chordata, Mammalia, Rodentia, Bathyergidae. The record is from Ensembl.